AUUGAACGCUGGCGGCAUGCCUUACACAUGCAAGUCGAGCGGCAGCGCGGGGGCAACCCUGGCGGCGAGCGGCGAACGGGUGAGUAAUGCAUCGGAACGUGUCCUCUUGUGGGGGAUAACCAGUCGAAAGACUGGCUAAUACCGCAUGAGCACGAGAGUGGAAAGCGGGGGACCGCAAGGCCUCGCGCGAGAGGAGCGGCCGAUGCCGGAUUAGCUGGUUGGCGGGGUAACGGCCCACCAAGGCGACGAUCCGUAGCUGGUCUGAGAGGACGACCAGCCACACUGGGACUGAGACACGGCCCAGACUCCUACGGGAGGCAGCAGUGGGGAAUUUUGGACAAUGGGGGCAACCCAGAUCCAGCCAUGCCGCGUGUGUGAAGAAGGCCUUCGGGUUGUAAAGCACUUUCGGACGGAACGAAAUCGCGCGGGCGAAUAUCCCGCGUGGAUGACGGUACCGUAAGAAGAAGCACCGGCUAACUACGUGCCAGCCGCCGCCGUAA
RNAcentral lists this ribosomal RNA (500 nucleotides) under uncultured bacterium. Its description in RNAcentral is "partial 16S ribosomal RNA". It matches the Rfam family "Bacterial small subunit ribosomal RNA", at positions 29 to 523 of the family's 1533-position model. The record is from RNAcentral.